Molecule: ribosomal RNA, 255 nt
Filed under: uncultured bacterium
Lineage: Bacteria
Description: partial 16S ribosomal RNA
Rfam family: Bacterial small subunit ribosomal RNA
Source: RNAcentral
UACGGAGGAUCCAAGCGUUAUCCGGAUUUAUUGGGUUUAAAGGGUGCGUAGGUGGCCUAUUAAGUCAGGGGUGAAAGACGGUAGCUUAACUAUCGCAGUGCCUUUGAUACUGAUGGGCUUGAAUACAGUUGAAGUGGGCGGAAUGUGACAAGUAGCGGUGAAAUGCAUAGAUAUGUCACAGAACACCGAUUGCGAAGGCAGCUCGACUAAAGUGUGAUUGACACUGAGGCACGAAAGGCGUGGGGAUCAAACAGG